This 397-nucleotide unclassified non-coding RNA is filed under the name fungal sp. RNAcentral's name for it is "partial internal transcribed spacer region". The stretch from base 1 to 46 matches the Rfam family "Eukaryotic small subunit ribosomal RNA", at positions 1786 to 1831 of the family's 1831-position model. Lineage: Eukaryota; Fungi. The record is from RNAcentral.
AAGUCGUAACAAGGUUUCCGUAGGUGAACCUGCGGAAGGAUCAUUAACACGUAUCCACGUUUAACCACCCGUGCACCUUCAUUUUAUACCGUCGUGUCAUGAAGCUUGCGAUGUUCUACUUUUGCCUUGCGGUUUGUCGAGCUGGUGUUGUGGACGACAAUCUAUCUUGGGAGGCCCUUGUGGGGUGGUUAGCGAAGCAACCUCUGUCCAUGAGAAUGUGUCUUCGGGGUAGCUUGUUGUUCUCAUUUGCCAGCUUGUCGAAUCUCGAUGUCAAAUUCCUGACUCGCAAGUUUUGUGUCCGCGUCCCAGUUGUUCUUACCCACCGCGUACCAAAAGUGACGCAAUUCAACCGUGCGCAGGCCAAAAGGCCAGCGUCGGAAACCCGCACAACUGUUAA